This 253-nucleotide ribosomal RNA is filed under the name uncultured bacterium. Its description in RNAcentral is "partial 16S ribosomal RNA". It matches the Rfam family "Bacterial small subunit ribosomal RNA", at positions 524 to 776 of the family's 1533-position model. The record is from RNAcentral.
UACGGGGGGGGCAAGCGUUGUUCGGAAUUACUGGGCGUAAAGGGCGCGUAGGCGGCCUGUUAAGUCGAACGUGAAAUCCCUGGGCUCAACCCAGGAACUGCGUCCGAUACUGGCAGGCUUGAAUUCGGGAGAGGGAUGCGGAAUUCCAGGUGUAGCGGUGAAAUGCGUAGAUAUCUGGAGGAACACCGGUGGCGAAGGCGGCAUCCUGGACCGACAUUGACGCUGAGGAGCGAAAGCUAGGGGAGCAAACGGG